Molecule: ribosomal RNA, 253 nt
Filed under: uncultured bacterium
Lineage: Bacteria
Description: partial 16S ribosomal RNA
Rfam family: Bacterial small subunit ribosomal RNA
Source: RNAcentral
UACGGAGGGUGCAAGCGUCAUCCGGAUUCACUGGGUUUAAAGGGUGUGUAGGCGGAUAUUUAAGUCAGUGGUGAAAUCUCUGGGCUCAACUCAGAAACUGCCAUUGAUACUAUUUAUCUUGAAUAUCGUUGAGGUUGGCGGAAUAUAUCAUGUAGCGGUGAAAUGCAUAGAUAUGAUAUAGAACACCGAUUGCGAAGGCAGCUAACUAAACGAUUAUUGACGCUGAGGCACGAAAGCGUGGGGAUCAAACAGG